RNAcentral lists this long non-coding RNA (254 nucleotides) under Linum usitatissimum (flax). RNAcentral's name for it is "long non-coding RNA (LUSI_LNC000586)". The record is from RNAcentral. Lineage: Eukaryota; Viridiplantae; Streptophyta; Magnoliopsida; Malpighiales; Linaceae.
UGUGAAGUGUCCUCUCUGCGAAGGUGGAUUCGUUGAGGAAGUAGACGGUGGCACCGCUACAGAUGACCAUCAUGACCCUGAUCCAGAUUUAGCAUCUGACCAUAACCUCUCCCUCUGGGAACCCAUCUUACUCAGCAUGAUGGGGAACUCUAGGCGUCGUAGAAGGUUCCGCAGAAUGGAGUUUGAAGAAGACUAUGAUUACAAUGAUGAUGGCCGUGGAGGAGGAGACACUGACCUAGACCGUGAACUUGAAU